ACUCAAAUGAAUAGACGGGGGCCCGCACAAGCGGUGGAGCAUGGGGAUUAAUUCGUCACUAACCGAAGAACCUUACCAGGGUUUGACAUCCGCGGUAAGUCCGUGAAAGCGGCACCCUCCGGAGCAAUCCGGACCGCGAGACAGGUGUUGCAUGGCUGUCGUCAGCUCGUGUCGUGAGAUGUUGGGUUAAGUCCCGCAACGAGCGCAACCCUCACGUGAUGUUGCCAGCGUAAAGUCGGGCACUCUUCACGAACUGCCCGGGUAACCGGGAGGAAGGUGGGGAUGACGUCAAGUCGGCAUGGCCCUUACAUCCUGGGCUUCACCCAUGCUACAAUGGGCGCGACAGAGGGAAGCAAGGCCGCGAGGCGGAGCCAAUCCCAAAAAGGCGCUCUCAGUUCGGAUUGCAGGCUGCAACUCGCCUGCAUGAAGUCGGAAUCGCUAGUAACCGCCGGUCAGCUAAACGGCGGUGAAUACGUUCCCGGGCCUUGUACACACCGCCCGU
RNAcentral lists this ribosomal RNA (502 nucleotides) under uncultured bacterium. RNAcentral describes it as "partial 16S ribosomal RNA". It matches the Rfam family "Bacterial small subunit ribosomal RNA", at positions 899 to 1397 of the family's 1533-position model. The record is from RNAcentral.